CUCGGGACCUCCUGGAGUGCUAUGGGCAGGCCAGCAGAGCCCUGACUGCAGCCCAGAGAGGAAAAUGACUUGCCCAGUCAGUAAGUGGCCAAGUGUCCUUCAGUUCCCUCGUUCCUGCCCUCUGGGAGGCCCUGCCCUGAUAAACAGCUAUGGAAUGUCGACACACAUGUGAAUGUGCUUGCAGCUGAAGCUCUUGAACAUUCAAAUGCCUUCCCUGCUGGAUAAUCUCUGAAAGAAGUUGGACAAAGGAGAGGGGAAUGGACCCAGGGAGCUUAAGAAAUGUUUUUGUAAACCUGUAUCCGGCCACACUAAAUAUGUAUGCAAUGAAGGUGGGCCUUGCACUCCGGGGGGUUUCCAUUCAUGUGUUAGGAUUUCAGUGAUAAGAAAAUAUAUUUUUAAGUUCUUUUUCCAUGCCUGUGAUGUAUCUUGGAAAGUUAGCAGCUGGGGAGAUUUUUUUUUCCUCCUGCGUCCUAUU
Long non-coding RNA from Herpailurus yagouaroundi (jaguarundi), 475 nucleotides. RefSeq lists it as uncharacterized. The transcript has 2 exons. The record is from RefSeq and is a predicted model, not a curated record. NCBI's taxonomy places the organism in Eukaryota, Metazoa, Chordata, Mammalia, Carnivora, Felidae.